GACGAACGCUGGCGGCGUGCCUAAUACAUGCAAGUAGAACGCUGAAGGAGGAGCUUGCUUCUCUGGAUGAGUUGCGAACGGGUGAGUAACGCGUAGGUAACCUGCCUGGUAGCGGGGGAUAACUAUUGGAAACGAUAGCUAAUACCGCAUAAGAGUAGAUGUCGCAUGACAUUUGCUUAAAAGGUGCAAUUGCAUCACUACCAGAUGGACCUGCGUUGUAUUAGCUAGUUGGUGAGGUAACGGCUCACCAAGGCAACGAUACAUAGCCGACCUGAGAGGGUGAUCGGCCACACUGGGACUGAGACACGGCCCAGACUCCUACGGGAGGCAGCAGUAGGGAAUCUUCGGCAAUGGACGGAAGUCUGACCGAGCAACGCCGCGUGAGUGAAGAAGGUUUUCGGAUCGUAAAGCUCUGUUGUAAGAGAAGAACGAGUGUGAGAGUGGAAAGUUCACACUGUGACGGUAGCUUAACAGAAAGGGACGGCUAACUACGUG
This 495-nucleotide ribosomal RNA is filed under the name uncultured bacterium. Its description in RNAcentral is "partial 16S ribosomal RNA". It matches the Rfam family "Bacterial small subunit ribosomal RNA", at positions 28 to 507 of the family's 1533-position model. The record is from RNAcentral.